AGCCAACGCAGGAGUUCAGAGGAAGAGGGCAGGGAAUAUGAGGAGAUAUUAUAGCUAGGGCUGGGAAAAACACCGUAAUCCCAUAAAAUGGACCGUAAUUGCGAAAGGUGUAUUGAAGAAUUGGCGACGGUGACAGCUAACGCUAAUUGUUAUUCCGGAAGGAUUGCCGGUGGCGAAGAUAUUUAGCACGAUAAACUGUUACAAGUAAUGUAAAGAGUAUUGUUAGCGUUCGGCAGGACUUGAGGAGAUUCCUGGUAGGAAUACCGAUCGUUGUGAGAUAAACUAAUAGGCGCAGUCACCGCCCUAAAUACCGGCGCUAGCGGAAAACUCGUACAUUCCGCGAUCUAACUGCACGUACAUUCCGCGAUCUCACUGCGCCGUCCAGACGGUGCCCUAAUGUCUAUCACUUAGCUACCGGAUAUGCAUCGGUAGCCCCAUAAGGUUCUGGGGUAAGUCUUCCCCAUUAGUCAGGCGCAGACCCGGGGUCAAAUCCCCUGGUCGACAACCACACGAGUUGGGAGAGGACCGUUUCCUCAACAAGGUGUAAUGCGCAACGCCGUAAAUAAUGAAAUUUACGGUGGGUUCCGGGGCAAAGUGGACCGUAACGAUUUACGGUCCUCGUUGCCGGAGCCAAAUCCUUUCUUUUCUUUUAUAUAACGAUAUAUAAGCUUAUUUCAUACCUUUUUACAUAGUUUUAUCAGGGUUACUUGCACCUAAGCUUGUAUUUAGCCGCGAUAUGGGUGACAUCCAGCCAAAGACAAGCGGGCUUCCAUGCUGGUUGGCCGUGUGGGGCUCCUGGUGUACAUCUACUACAACUACCGUGUCCUUAACCGCAAGGCCCCUGUCAACAACAAGGAUUGGGACCAGUUCCUGGACUGGUUGAACAGCCUGUCCCCACUGACAGUAGAGGGCCAGCGGCAGCGGGACCACCUCGAGAACAGUGCAACUAAGGCCCAGGCGCCACCGCAGCAGCAGAACUGCACUGAGGAGGACGCCAGCAGCGAUGACGACGAAACGCCCCUGGCGAUACUGUCGAAGUAGCGGCAAUGCGCAGCCCAGGAGGCAGAGGCUGACACUGUUACGCAUGUUCGGCCCGUAUAUAUUAGGAGCAUCAUUCUUGGUUGAGGAUUUAGCAUAUGGCAUGAUGGCAUACAACAGAUGCAGUACUCGAUGCGCGCACGGUGCUCCGGUUGAAAUGUUUUCGCCUCAUUCAGUAUUUUUGGCUGUCUUUUGUGAUAGUUUAAUCAUAGGUUAAUGUAUAAUAAGCUUUUUAAGACUAUCCCGUAGCUCCAAGGGACGAAAUGGCAUGUUUCGAGGUGUGGUCGUCGGUAUUGGCUCGCACGCUUGCGGUCCGACCGUAAUUUGGACCUUUUGGUAACCGUAAUUGCAUUACACCGUAAGGACCGUCAUUUUACUGUGUUUUUGGGGGGUCACCGAAAUUGCGAAAGGUGUAAUGCGCAACUUCGUAAGGACCGUAACCGUAAUUCCCAGCCCUAAUUAUAGCCCUCGGAGUGGUGACAUGGUGUUGCAGGAAGGAGGAUAGUAGGUCGCAUUAACGUGGCUGUCACUGAUCCGUACCCUGCUGAACUUUUGCUGAGUAAUACUUUCACUGAAGCCAUUUCAGGUGCAAAUGCAAAUGAGUGGCGCAGAGUGAUGGUCGAGGAGAUUGCUGCAUUAGCAGCUAACGGUGUUUGUGUGCCAUGUGCACAGCCUCAUGAUGUGCGUGUGCUACUGUACCCGUGGGUGUACAAAUUGAAAACACUGGAAAAUGACAGUGUCAAGCGUUCUUUUGCAUGGCUAGUUGCAAAGGUGUACGAGAAGUACGAGACCUUGGAGAAGCGCAGGUGUUUUCGGACAUGGAAAUUAUGGGGAGAAG
Molecule: long non-coding RNA, 1876 nt
Filed under: Volvox carteri
Lineage: Eukaryota; Viridiplantae; Chlorophyta; Chlorophyceae; Chlamydomonadales; Volvocaceae
Description: long non-coding RNA (VCAR_LNC001801)
Source: RNAcentral